This 84-nucleotide microRNA precursor is filed under the name Bombyx mori (domestic silkworm). RNAcentral describes it as "mir-2807 microRNA precursor family". It matches the Rfam family "mir-2807 microRNA precursor family". Lineage: Eukaryota; Metazoa; Arthropoda; Insecta; Lepidoptera; Bombycidae. The record is from Rfam by way of RNAcentral.
UUAACUCGAAUUUGUAUGGAGCUGGAACGUUUGGCUACGUUUGUCGCCAGGGGCGCUGUUCCAACUGCAUACAAUUUCGAGUUA